Molecule: transfer RNA, 76 nt
Filed under: Bacteroidota bacterium
Lineage: Bacteria; Pseudomonadati; Bacteroidota
Also listed under: 1 other name
Description: tRNA-Trp
Rfam family: tRNA
About the family: Transfer RNA (tRNA) molecules are approximately 80 nucleotides in length. Their secondary structure includes four short double-helical elements and three loops (D, anti-codon, and T loops).
Source: RNAcentral
GGGUCAGUAGCUCAACUGGUAGAGCGACAGACUCCAAAUCUGUAGGUUGAGGGUUCGAGUCCUUCCUGGCCUGCCA